RNAcentral lists this long non-coding RNA (945 nucleotides) under Chinchilla lanigera (long-tailed chinchilla). RNAcentral describes it as "lncRNA (ENSCLAG00000028354.1)". The record is from RNAcentral. Lineage: Eukaryota; Metazoa; Chordata; Mammalia; Rodentia; Chinchillidae.
AUGGCUAGUGUGUCAGAAGGUGGCCACUACCACAGGGGCCUGGAGGGGGAGAAGCAGGGAGCCGUGAUGGCACGCAUGGACCAGGGACCCACAGGGAGGCUCUCCGAUGGCCCCGUCCACUCCUGUUCAACUCUGGGCCUCCGGUUUAGGUCUCUGCAGGGCACAAUUCAGAGAGCAGAAGAGCGAGGCACUCAAGGAAGACGUCCACGAGGCAGGGCUGGCCUUCCUGGUGGGGAAUCAGCAAGUGCCGGAGAGGCCUCGAGGACGCACUGGCACCCCCACGAGCUCUCGGGGCAUCGCUGGGAAGGCCCAGGGGGAGGCAGGGUCACUUCGGGCCCCGCUGUGCAUCGUGCAGCGGCUUUCGCGCGUCACAGCCCUCACUGCAUGAGAAGCUGCCAGAGGCGAAAGACGCUGCGGGACCCCCAGUGCCGGGAAGAAGGCACAGCUUCGAGGGGUGGCUACUGUUCCCGGACGAAGUGGACAGUAACGGGCGAGGUGCAAGGGGCACCAUGCAAUCCACAUGCCGGUGAUCGGAAGCGGGAGGGUCAGCCACAGCCGCAGCCCGCGUCUCCCGGCUUCCUGGGACACACAGGACCCUGGGGAGCAUCGUCUGGUUCGGUCCGCACCAUGGCGAAGGAGGGAGCUGCCUCCCUCCUCCGUGAAGGCCCGGAACGGCGGACCCCCCCCUCCCCCAGCCAGCAGGGUGCCGAGCCCUCCGGUCCUCGCAGGUCCCAGCAGCAGGCAGCGUGGGGACGAGCCUCAGGUCUGAUAUUGAGCAGCACCUCGUUCCUCUGGACUGUGUGCUGGGGAUGGGAUCCGGUGUUUCCUUUGUAAAUUCCCAACUUUUUAAGAUUAAAAAUGUUAUUGUGGAAGAGAAUACACAACAUAAAGUUUCACGUCUUAAAUCUUUUUUUUUCAGUACUGGGGACUGAACCCAGGGCCUUU